This 22-nucleotide microRNA is filed under the name Canis lupus familiaris (dog). RNAcentral describes it as "cfa-miR-1837". The record is from miRBase by way of RNAcentral. Lineage: Eukaryota; Metazoa; Chordata; Mammalia; Carnivora; Canidae.
UCUCAGAGGGACUGCGACAUCU